UAAGCCAUGCAUGUCUAAGUAUAAGCAAUUAUACAGCGAAACUGCGAAUGGCUCAUUAUAUAAGUUAUCGUUUAUUUGAUAGUACCUUACUACUUGGAUAACCGUGGUAAUUCUAGAGCUAAUACAUGCUAAAAAUCCCGACUUCGGAAGGGAUGUAUUUAUUAGAUUAAAAACCAAUGCCCUCUGGGCUCCUUGGUGAUUCAUAAUAACUUUUCGAAUCGCAUGGCCUUGCGCCGGCGAUGGUUCAUUCAAAUUUCUUCCCUAUCAACUUUCGAUGUUUGGGUAUUGGCCAAACAUGGUCGCAACGGGUAACGGAGGGUUAGGGCUCGACCCCGGAGAAGGAGCCUGAGAAACGGCUACUACAUCCAAGGAAGGCAGCAGGCGCGCAAAUUACCCAAUCCCGAUUCGGGGAGGUAGUGACAAUAAAUACUGAUACAGGGCUCUUUUGGGUCUUGUAAUUGGAAUGAGUACAAUUUAAAUCCCUUAACGAGGAACAAUUGGAGGGCAAGUCUGGUGCCAGCAGCCGCGGUAAUUCCACCUCCAAUAGCGUAUAUUAAAGUUGUUGUGGUUAAAAAGCUCGUAGUUGAACCUUGGGCCUGGCUGGCCGGUCCGCCUUCACCGCGUGUACUGGUCCGGCCGGGCCUUUCCCUCUGUGGAACCUCAUGCCCUUCACUGGGUGUGGCGGGGAAACAGGACUUUUACUUUGAAAAAAUUAGAGUGCUCCAGGCAGGCCUAUGCUCGAAUACAUUAGCAUGGGAAUAAUAAAAUAAGGACGCGUGGUUCUAUUUUGUUGGUUUCUAGGACCGCCGUAAUGAUUAAUAGGGACAGUCGGGGGCAUCAGUAUUCAAUUGUCAGAGGUGAAAUUCUUGGAUUUAUUGAAGACUAACUACUGCGAAAGCAUUUGCCAAGGAUGUUUUCAUUAAUCAGGAACGAAAGUUAGGGGAUCGAAGACGAUCAGAUACCCGUCGUAGUCUUAACCAUAAACUAUGCCGACUAGGGAUCGGACGAUGUUAUUUUUUGACCCGUUCGGCACCUUACGAGAAAUCAAAGUGCUUGGGCUCCCAGGGGGA
Molecule: ribosomal RNA, 1070 nt
Filed under: Cordyceps amoene-rosea
Lineage: Eukaryota; Fungi; Ascomycota; Sordariomycetes; Hypocreales; Cordycipitaceae
Description: SSU rRNA
Rfam family: Eukaryotic small subunit ribosomal RNA
Source: RNAcentral